RNAcentral lists this ribosomal RNA (465 nucleotides) under uncultured bacterium. RNAcentral describes it as "partial 16S ribosomal RNA". It matches the Rfam family "Bacterial small subunit ribosomal RNA", at positions 28 to 507 of the family's 1533-position model. The record is from RNAcentral.
GAUGAACGCUGGCGGCGUGCUUAACACAUGCAAGUCGAACGGAAAGGCCCAAGCUUGCUUGGGGACUCGAGUGGCGAACGGGUGAGUAACACGUGGGUGAUCUGCCCUGCACUUCGGGAUAAGCCUGGGAAACUGGGUCUAAUACCGGAUAGGACCACAUUUUGGAGGGGGGGGGGGAAAGUUUGUCGGUGUGGGAUGAGCUCGCGGCCUAUCAGCUUGUUGGUGGGGUAAUGGCCUACCAAGGCGUCGACGGGUAGCCGGCCUGCGAGGGUGUACGGCCACAUUGGGACUGAUAUACGGCCCAGACUCCUACGGGAGGCAGCAGUGGUGAAUAUUGCACAAUGAUCGCAAGCCUGCUGCAGCGACGCCGCGUGGGGGAUGACGGCCUUCGGCUUGUAAACUCCUUUCGCUACGGACGAAGCGCAAGUGACGGUACCUGGAGAAGAAGCACCGGCUAACUACGUG